GACCUCAAAUCAGGUAGGAUUACCCGCUGAAC
Molecule: ribosomal RNA, 32 nt
Filed under: Fomitopsis cf. meliae 1P_1_1
Lineage: Eukaryota; Fungi; Basidiomycota; Agaricomycetes; Polyporales; Fomitopsidaceae
Description: partial 28S ribosomal RNA
Source: RNAcentral